CCUACGGGGGGCAGCAGUGAGGAAUAUUGGUCAAUGGCCGGAAGGCUGAACCAGCCAUGCCGCGUGAAGGUCAGUGCCCUAUGGGCGUUAAACUUCUUUUGUGCGGGAGCAAUAAUGGUCACGUGUGGCCAGACGAGAGUACCGUACGAAUAAGCAUCGGCUAACUCCGUGCCAGCAGCCGCGGUAAUACGGGGAUGCAAGCGUUAUCCGGUGUUUUUGGGGUUUAAGGGUGCGUAGGAUGGGAGGUAAGUCAGCGGUGGAAUGCCCCCGCUCAACGGGGUGAAGUGCCAUUGAUACUGCCUUGCUGGAAUGCGGAUGCCGUGGGAGGAAUGUGUGGUGUAGCGGUGAAAUGCACAGAUAUCACACAGAACACCGAUUGCGAAGGCAUCUCACGAAUCCGCGAUUGACGCUGAUGCACGAAAGCGUGGGUAUCAAACAGGAUUAGAUACCCCAGUAGUC
This 459-nucleotide ribosomal RNA is filed under the name uncultured bacterium. RNAcentral describes it as "partial 16S ribosomal RNA". It matches the Rfam family "Bacterial small subunit ribosomal RNA", at positions 338 to 795 of the family's 1533-position model. The record is from RNAcentral.